GACGAACGCUGGCGGCGUGCUUAACACAUGCAAAUCGAGCGGUAAGGCCCUUUCGGGGGUACACGAGCGGCGAACGGGUGAGUAACACGUGGGUGACCUGCCCUCAGCUCUGGGAUAAGCCUGGGAAACCGGGUCUAAUACCGGAUAUGACUCCAUGACGCAUGUUGUGGGGUGGAAAGCCUUGUGCGGCUGAGGAUGGGCCCGCGGCCUAUCAGCUUGUUGGUGGGGUGAUGGCCUACCAAGGCGACGACGGGUAGCCGGCCUGAGAGGGCGACCGGCCACACUGGGGACUGAGACACGGGCCCAGGACUCCUACGGGAGGCAGCAGUGGGGAAUCUUGCGCAAUGGGCGAAAGCCUGACGCAGCGACGCCGCGUGAGGGAUGAC
This 386-nucleotide ribosomal RNA is filed under the name uncultured bacterium. RNAcentral describes it as "bacterial SSU rRNA". It matches the Rfam family "Bacterial small subunit ribosomal RNA", at positions 28 to 412 of the family's 1533-position model. The record is from RNAcentral.